GCGUUGCUCGGAAUUACUGGGCGUAAAGGGCGCGUAGGCGGAUCGUUAAGUCAGAGGUGAAAUCCCAGGGCUCAACCCUGGAACUGCCUUUGAUACUGGCGGUCUUGAGUAUGAGAGAGGUAUGUGGAACUCCGUGUGUAGAGGUGAAAUUCGUAGAUAUUCGGAAAAACACCAGUGGCGAAGGCGACAUACUGGCCCAUUACUGACGCUGAGGCGCGAAAGCGUG
RNAcentral lists this ribosomal RNA (226 nucleotides) under uncultured bacterium. RNAcentral describes it as "partial 16S ribosomal RNA". It matches the Rfam family "Bacterial small subunit ribosomal RNA", at positions 538 to 763 of the family's 1533-position model. The record is from RNAcentral.